UGUUUGCACUGUUCUGGGUAAGCGUGGCUGUUUUAUCGUUUGUCUGCUUUAAUAAUGGCUAUUAAUACUAAUUGGUUUAUCUGCUUAGCCUCCUUUGCUGCACUUCCAGUAUCUGGACCGAUCUGUCCAUUCAUUUGUUUGCUGACAGGAAGGUAAGGGCUUAGCGUGGCUAGGUAACAUCUACCCCAUGUAAACAAAACCUUCACAUAGCGUUUUCUUACAGUUGCACUGCAUCUAGGCGGAAUUGGGAAUCUGAUUAUUUGGCAGUGCAGUCAUUUAUCAGGUCACAGCCUUCUGACUCAUCAGCAUUGCACCUGGAGUGACACUCGCUGCUGUUUUGCCUACUUAUAAAUUGUUUUAAAAUACUAAUCUGCACUUUCUCUGGGGAUAAAGUGCAACAUUGUAGGGCUACUGUAUCACUGUUUUACUUGUAUCGUUUCAUUUUCUUGUCUGUCUUUUAGGGACUGAGGCUUCUGUGGUGGCGGUGGUGACCCCUGGUGGCGGUGUCUUGUCUUGUGUGUUUUGUUGGAGCACCUUUUUCUUUCUUUGUUUGCCGUGUUUUUGUAGUGUCCAGGGUGGUCCCCUUUUUCUGCACUGGAUGUUGCCCCUUCCCUCACUACUUCCCCCAUCGGUAAGCCUCAGUUUCCUUUGAAAUUUAGACAUUUUAUUAUCUUGUCAAAUGCAUUCACUGUUUUAACCAUUCAAUUUCAGAUUAUUGGAAAUUAAAGAUAUUUUGAAGUUUAAUAAAUUUUGUAGAACUUUCUG
Molecule: long non-coding RNA, 765 nt
Organism: Poecilia latipinna (sailfin molly)
Lineage: Eukaryota; Metazoa; Chordata; Actinopteri; Cyprinodontiformes; Poeciliidae
Exons: 2
Source: RefSeq, a predicted model, not a curated record